Molecule: long non-coding RNA, 799 nt
Organism: Plodia interpunctella (Indianmeal moth)
Lineage: Eukaryota; Metazoa; Arthropoda; Insecta; Lepidoptera; Pyralidae
Exons: 3
Source: RefSeq, a predicted model, not a curated record
AGUAGGUACUUACUUAUUAAAUCCAUGGUCGUGUCAAGGUCAAGUGUCCUUUAUUGUCUUCUAAAGACAAGAAGAUUGCACUUUCUGUAAAAAAUAAAACGUCAUUUUAAAAUAUGUUGUGUACGAGAAAUUAUUUAUUGAUCAAGCCCAAACCACAAUUUUGAAUUUACAUGUUUAUAAAGACCAGGAUGAUGACUAUAUAUUAUUAUGACAUGAUUGUGUUUCCACUUUAUGCUUACUACUAAAAGUUCAACCUUACUUCCCACUUUACCCAAUACCAAGACAAGUCAGCCUAUUCUGGUUCGCAGUAGAAGUAAGCCCCUAGAGUGCCUAAACUGGUUGUCUAAGAAGUGUCUUCGUUGUUGUGCUUGUCUGUGCUGCGUAGCCGUUUGUGCAUAUAUCGGACAUUUGUGCGGAUGUGAAGAGGCAUGUUGCCAAGAUCCAGAAAAUAUUGAACCCGAAAUGCAAUUGUAACAAGUGCGUGGAAUGGUGAUAGUUUUGAGUGCUACAUAUAAAUACGUCCUUGUCCGGGAUUGACAUAAAGACACUGUAUUACAAGCAAGAAUUGAGCUUGUCUACACAGCUGCUACGCCUGACAUUUAUAAAGAUGUGUUGCUGUUGUUGCCCUAUGUGUAUACGAUGCUUAAAAAUUAUUUGUUGUAUAUAUCUAUGUGCUUGGUGUUGCGAAAUGUUUGGGUGUUGUGAAGGGCUUUGUGAUGAAUGCGCAUCGUUUGGCGAAGACGACUAGAUAGUAAAUCUAGUUACUUGCUUUCAAUAUAAGUAAACAUGAUUCCAUCGU